GAUGAACGCUGGCGGCGUGCCUAAUACAUGCAAGUCGAGCGAACAGACGAGGAGCUUGCUCCUCUGACGUUAGCGGCGGACGGGUGAGUAACACGUGGAUAACCUACCUAUAAGACUGGGAUAACUUCGGGAAACCGGAGCUAAUACCGGAUAAUAUAUUGAACCGCAUGGUUCAAUAGUGAAAGACGGUUUUGCUGUCACUUAUAGAUGGAUCCGCGCCGCAUUAGCUAGUUGGUAAGGUAACGGCUUACAAAGGCAACGAUGCGUAGCCGACCUGAGAGGGUGAUCGGCCACACUGAAACUGAGACACGAUCCAUACUCCUACGGGAGGCAGCAGUAGGGAAUCUGCCGCAAUGGGCGAAAGCCUGACGGAGCAACGCCGCGAGAGUGAUGAAGGUCUUCAGAUCGUAAAACUCUGUUAUUAGGGAAGAACAAAUGUGUAAGUAACUAUGCACGUCUUGACGGUACCGAAUCAGAAAGCCACGGCUAACUACGUG
Molecule: ribosomal RNA, 497 nt
Filed under: uncultured bacterium
Lineage: Bacteria
Description: partial 16S ribosomal RNA
Rfam family: Bacterial small subunit ribosomal RNA
Source: RNAcentral